UAUUUGAUUGUCUGAAUUCUUACAACUACAAUACCCACCUGCUGAAGUGAAGAAACAGAUUGACAGAGCCAGAAGAAUACCCAGAAGUCACCUACUACAGGACAGGUCCAACAGAGAAAACAGCAGAACACCACUGGCCAUCGCUUUCAGCCCUUAACUAAAACCUCCAACACAUCAUCAAGGAUCUAUAACGUAUCCUGAAAGACGACCCAUCACUCUCUCAGAUCUUGGGAGAGAGGCCAGUCCUUGCUUACAGACAGCUCCCCAACCUGAAGCAAAUACUC
Molecule: long non-coding RNA, 284 nt
Organism: Dermochelys coriacea (leatherback sea turtle)
Lineage: Eukaryota; Metazoa; Chordata; Testudines; Dermochelyidae
Exons: 3
Source: RefSeq, a predicted model, not a curated record